RNAcentral lists this ribosomal RNA (468 nucleotides) under uncultured bacterium. Its description in RNAcentral is "partial 16S ribosomal RNA". It matches the Rfam family "Bacterial small subunit ribosomal RNA", at positions 28 to 507 of the family's 1533-position model. The record is from RNAcentral.
GACGAACGCUGGCGGCGUGCUUAACACAUGCAAGUCGAACGGAAAGGCCCUUCUUUUGUGGGGUGCUCGAGUGGCGAACGGGUGAGUAACACGUGAGUAACCUGCCCUUGACUUUGGGAUAACUUCAGGAAACUGGGGCUAAUACCGUAUAGUAGCUCCUGCUGCAUGGUGGGGGUUGGAAAGUUUCGGCGGUGGGGGAUGGACUGGCGGCUUAUCAGCUUGUUGGUGGGGUAGUGGCUUACCAAGGCUUUGACGGGUAGCCGGCCUGAGAGGGUGACCGGCAACAUUGGGACUGAGAUACGGCCCAGACUCCUACGGGAGGCAGCAGUGGGGAAUAUUGCACAAUGGGCGGAAGCCUGAUGCAGCAACGCCGCGGGCGGGAUGACGGCCUUCGGGUUGUAAACCGCUUUCGCCUGUGACGAAGCGUGAGUGACGGUAAUGGGUAAAGAAGCACCGGCUAACUACGUG